RNAcentral lists this ribosomal RNA (470 nucleotides) under uncultured bacterium. RNAcentral describes it as "bacterial SSU rRNA". It matches the Rfam family "Bacterial small subunit ribosomal RNA", at positions 28 to 514 of the family's 1533-position model. The record is from RNAcentral.
GAUGAACGCUAGCGGCAGGCCUAAUACAUGCAAGUCAAGGGGUAGCAAUACACCGGCGGACGGGUGCGUAACGCGUACACAACGUACCUCAGAGCGGGGGAUAGCAUUGGGAAACUGGUGGUAAAACCCCAUGGUGUUGUUGAAUGGCAUCAUUUAACAACUAAAGGUUACACUCUGAGAUCGGUGUGCGUCUGAUUAGCUAGUUGGUGGGGUAACGGCCCACCAAGGCGACGAUCAGUAGGGGGUGUGAGAGCAUGACCCCCCCACAUGGGUACUGAGACACGGACCCAACUCCUACGGGAGGCAGCAGUAAGGAAUAUUGGACAAUGGGCGAAAGCCUGAUCCAGCCAUGCCGCGUGAAGGAUGAAGGCGCUCAGCGUUGUAAACUUCUUUUGGACGGGAACAUAUCCCCGAUUGUCGGGGCUUGAGGGUACCGUCAGAAUAAGCACCGGCUAACUCCGUGCCAGCAG